This 407-nucleotide ribosomal RNA is filed under the name uncultured bacterium. RNAcentral's name for it is "bacterial SSU rRNA". It matches the Rfam family "Bacterial small subunit ribosomal RNA", at positions 355 to 776 of the family's 1533-position model. The record is from RNAcentral.
UGGGGAAUAUUGGGCAAUGGGCGCAAGCCUGACCCAGCAACGCCGCGUGAAGGAAGAAGGCUUUCGGGUUGUAAACUUCUUUUAAGAGGGACGAAACAAAUGACGGUACCUCUUGAACAAGCCACGGCUAACUACGUGCCAGCAGCCGCGGUAAUACGUAGGUGGCAAGCGUUAUCCGGAUUUAUUGGGUGUAAAGGGCGUGUAGGCGGGACUGCAAGUCAGAUGUGAAAACUCAGGGCUCAACCCUGAGCCUGCAUUUGAAACUGUAGUUCUUGAGUGCUGGAGAGGCAAUCGGAAUUCCGUGUGUAGCGGUGAAAUGCGUAGAUAUACGGAGGAACACCAGUGGCGAAGGCGGAUUGCUGGACAGUAACUGACGCUGAGGCGCGAAAGCGUGGGGAGCAAACAGG